RNAcentral lists this ribosomal RNA (618 nucleotides) under Oceanobacillus sp. RNAcentral describes it as "bacterial SSU rRNA". It matches the Rfam family "Bacterial small subunit ribosomal RNA", at positions 262 to 871 of the family's 1533-position model. Lineage: Bacteria; Bacillati; Bacillota; Bacilli; Caryophanales; Bacillaceae. The record is from RNAcentral.
GGCUCACCAAGGCGACGAUGCGUAGCCGACCUGAGAGGGUGAUCGGCCACACUGGGACUGAGACACGGCCCAGACUCCUACGGGAGGCAGCAGUAGGGAAUCUUCCGCAAUGGACGAAAGUCUGACGGAGCAACGCCGCGUGAGUGAUGAAGGUUUUCGGAUCGUAAAACUCUGUUGUUAGGGAAGAACAAGUUGGGUAGUAACUGACCCAACCUUGACGGUACCUAACCAGAAAGCCACGGCUAACUACGUGCCAGCAGCCGCGGUAAUACGUAGGUGGCAAGCGUUGUCCGGAAUUAUUGGGCGUAAAGCGCUCGCAGGCGGUCCUUUAAGUCUGAUGUGAAAUCUCGCGGCUCAACCGCGAACGGUCAUUGGAAACUGGAGGACUUGAGUACAGAAGAGGAGAGUGGAAUUCCACGUGUAGCGGUGAAAUGCGUAGAGAUGUGGAGGAACACCAGUGGCGAAGGCGACUCUCUGGUCUGUAACUGACGCUGAGGAGCGAAAGCGUGGGGAGCGAACAGGAUUAGAUACCCUGGUAGUCCACGCCGUAAACGAUGAGUGCUAGGUGUUAGGGGGUUUCCGCCCCUUAGUGCUGAAGUUAACGCAUUAAGCACUCCG